This 28-nucleotide non-coding RNA is filed under the name Rattus norvegicus (Norway rat). The record is from RNAcentral. Lineage: Eukaryota; Metazoa; Chordata; Mammalia; Rodentia; Muridae.
UGUCUUGGUGGAGGUUCGAUAAUCCAAU